CCUGAGACUAGAGUCACAUUCUGACACAACCCUUGUCCUGGUGUGCUGGCAUCCUCGGAGACAAUCUGCUGAUCUUGAUUUACAGGUGAGGGCAAUCAGUGCCCCCAGUAGUACCCAGAUCAGAACACGC
This is a small nucleolar RNA of Diceros bicornis minor, 130 nucleotides long. RefSeq annotates it as small nucleolar RNA SNORA3/SNORA45 family. The transcript has a single exon. NCBI's taxonomy places the organism in Eukaryota, Metazoa, Chordata, Mammalia, Perissodactyla, Rhinocerotidae. The record is from RefSeq and is a predicted model, not a curated record.